RNAcentral lists this ribosomal RNA (878 nucleotides) under uncultured Chloroflexota bacterium. RNAcentral's name for it is "bacterial SSU rRNA". It matches the Rfam family "Bacterial small subunit ribosomal RNA", at positions 8 to 902 of the family's 1533-position model. The record is from RNAcentral. Lineage: Bacteria; Bacillati; Chloroflexota.
AGAGUUUGAUCCUGGCUCAGGGUGAACGCUGGCGGCGCGCUUAAUGCAUGCAAGUCGAGCGAGAAGCCGGCUUCGGCCGGUAGAGAGCGGCAGACGGCUGAGUAACGCGUGAGUAACUUGCCCUCCGGUGGGGUAUACACUCGGGAAACUGAGGAUAAUCCCGCAUACGACCCGGUCCCCUUGGGGAUCAGGUGAAAGGCUUCGGUCGCCGGAGGAGAGGCUCGCGUCCUAUCAGGUAGUUGGUGGGGUAAAAGCCUACCAAGCCGAUGACGGGUAGCUGGUCUGAGAGGAUGACCAGCCAGAGGGGGACUGAGACACGGCCCCCACUCCUACGGGAGGCAGCAUGCAGUGGAAUCUUGGGCAAGUGGCGCGAAAGCCUGACCCAGCGACGUCGCUGUGGAGGACGAACGCCUUCGGGUUGUAAACUCCUUUUCCGAGGGAAGAUUUCGGACGGUACCUCGGUGAAUAAGCCCCGGCUAACUACGUGCCACGCAGCCGCGGUAAUACGUAGGGGGCAAGCGUUACCCGGAAUUACUGGGCGUAAAGUGCGCGUAGCAGUUGGAUAAGUCUCUUGUGAAAGCUCCCGGCUCAACUGGGAGAGGUCAUAGGGAUACUAUUCGACUAGAGGACAGCGAGUGUCAGCGGGAUUCCCGGUGUGGCGGUGGAAUGCGUAAUUCGGGAGGAACACCGCCGGCGAAGCGGCUUUCUGGGCUGUGCUGACGCUGAUGGCGCCAGAGCGUGGGGAGCCACUGGAUUAGAUACCCAGGUAGUCCACGCCCUAAACGAUGGAUACUAGGUNUGGGGGGUAUUGACCCCCUCCGUGCCGUACUGACGCGUUANAGUAUCCCGCCUGGGGACUACGGCGCAGGCUAAAACUC